GGCUCAGGAUGAACGCUAGCGGCAGGCUUAAUACAUGCAAGUCGUGGGGCAGCAGGUUUGUAGCAAUACAGAUGCUGGCGACCGGUAAACGGGUGCGGAACACGUACACAACCUUCCUUUAAGUGGGGAAUAACCCAGAGAAAUUUGGAUUAAUACCCCGUAACAUUAUGAUGUGGCAUCACAUUAUAAUUAUAGCUCCGGCGCUUAAUGAUGGGUGUGCGGCUGAUUAGGUAGUUGGCGGGGUAACGGCCCACCAAGCCUGCGAUCAGUAACUGGUGUGAGAGCACGACCAGACACACGGGCACUGAGACACGGGCCCGACUCCUACGGGAGGCAGCAGUAAGGAAUAUUGGGCAAUGGAGGCAACUCUGACCCAGCCAUGCCGCGUGGAGGAUGAAGGCCCUCUGGGUUGUAAACUUCUUUUAUAUGGGACGAAAAAGGGCCUUUCCAGGUCAACUGACGGUACCAUAUGAAUAAGCACCGGCUAACUCCGUG
Molecule: ribosomal RNA, 495 nt
Filed under: uncultured bacterium
Lineage: Bacteria
Description: bacterial SSU rRNA
Rfam family: Bacterial small subunit ribosomal RNA
Source: RNAcentral